Odobenus rosmarus divergens (Pacific walrus) is the source of this 558-nucleotide non-coding RNA. Lineage: Eukaryota; Metazoa; Chordata; Mammalia; Carnivora; Odobenidae. The record is from the annotation of a RefSeq genome assembly.
AUGAAGACAUCCAUGGGAGCUUUAAUCAUGCUUUUAUGGCUGCAGCUGAACUGGUUCAGCCAAGGAGAGAAGGUGGAGCAGCAUCCUUCUACCCUGAGUGUGCAGCAGGGAAGCAGCUCUGUUAUCAACUGCAGUUAUUCAGACAGUGCCUCAGAGUACUUCCCUUGGUAUAAGCAAGAGUUUGGAAAAGGUCCCCAGCUCCUUAUAGACAUUCGUUCAAACACGGCCAAAAAAGAAGACCAAAGACUCACUGUUUUAUUGAAUAAGAUGACCAAACAUCUCUCCCUGCACAUCGCAGACACCCAGCCUGAAGACUCAGCUGUGUACUUCUGCGCAGCAAGCACACAUUGCUUCCCAGGCACCUGCUGCCUGCACUCAAACCUGGGAUCCAGUAUUGCCCAGAAAGUAACUCAAGCCCAACCAGCGAAGUUAGUGCAGGAGAAGGAGGCUGUCAUUCUGAAAUGCACAUAUGACGCCAGUGAUCUGAGUGAUAGUCUAUUGUGGUACAAGCAGCCCAGCAGUGGAGCAAUGAUAUUACUUAUUCAUCAGGAUUCUUAG